Molecule: ribosomal RNA, 490 nt
Filed under: uncultured bacterium
Lineage: Bacteria
Description: partial 16S ribosomal RNA
Rfam family: Bacterial small subunit ribosomal RNA
Source: RNAcentral
AUUGAACGCUGGCGGCAGGCCUAACACAUGCAAGUCGAACGGUAACAGGAAACAGCUUGCUGUUUCGCUGACGAGUGGCGGACGGGUGAGUAAUGUCUGGGAAACUGCCUGAUGGAGGGGGAUAACUACUGGAAACGGUAGCUAAUACCGCAUAACGUCGCAAGACCAAAGAGGGGGACCCUCGGGCCUCUUGCCAUCGGAUGUGCCCAGAUGGGAUUAGCUUGUUGGUGGGGUAACGGCUCACCAAGGCGACGAUCCCUAGCUGGUCUGAGAGGAUGACGAGCAAGAAUGGAAGAGAGAGCCGGACAGGACGCAUAGGGGAGGCAGCAGUGGGGAGGAGGGGAAAAUGGGGGGAAGAUUGAAGAAGCGAUGCCGCGGGUAUGAAGAAGGUCUACGGGUUGGAAAGUCAUGUCAGCGGGGAGGAAGGGAGAAAAGUCAAUAACUUCGCUGAUUGAAGUGACCGUCAGAAGAAGAACAGGAGAAUUCCGUG